AAGAACAUGGUUGGGGACAAUAUAUCCCCAUCCUAACCAUGAGAAAUUGAAGAACAAUAAUGUUAUUUUCAUGUAUAUGGACUAUGAUAUAAGACUUACGACGUAUCUGUUCCCUUUUUAUUUUCAUAAUUGAACUAUUUUCUCACCGGAUAAACCUAUCUCUUGUUCCCUCUGGAUGGUGGAAAGCGACAAUGUUAGAUCCAUGGAGCUGUGACAGUGCCGUGGUAUGUAGUGGUGAUGAUAUGCAUGGAUCUGAGCUUUACGGUGCUUUGGGCGCGAUGGUUAGGUUGUUGUUCCAUAUAUAGAUGGUGGUGGUGGUGGUGAGUGAUAAUUCUAGAUCUAGUAGUGAUGCCUGGUGGUUGAGGAUGACGGUGGUGGUUGACCGGAGGACGAUGGGUUAUUGUUGAAGGUCAACUUUGUUUUCUUCUCCUUUGUUCUGGUGACCGACGGCUUCGGGCGGCUAAAAGGAGUGGUGAUUGUGGAGAACGGCUGAGGUUGGUGGUGAUGGCAUUGGUAAUUGACGGGAGACCCAAAAAAAUUUAGGUGGUGAAGACAUAGUUAAUAAAC
RNAcentral lists this long non-coding RNA (567 nucleotides) under Lupinus angustifolius (narrow-leaved blue lupine). RNAcentral describes it as "long non-coding RNA (LANG_LNC000165)". Lineage: Eukaryota; Viridiplantae; Streptophyta; Magnoliopsida; Fabales; Fabaceae. The record is from RNAcentral.